GAUGAACGCUAGCUACAGGCUUAACACAUGCAAGUCGAGGGGAAACGAUAGAGAAAGCUUGCUUUUUCUAGGCGUCGACCGGCGCACGGGUGAGUAACGCGUAUCCAACCUGCCCAUCACUUGGGGAUAACCUUGCGAAAGUAAGACUAAUACCCAAUGACGUCCAUAGAAGACAUCUGAAAGGGAUUAAAGAUUUAUCGGUGAUGGAUGGGGAUGCGUCUGAUUAGCUUGUUGGCGGGGUAACGGCCCACCAAGGCGACGAUCAGUAGGGGUUCUGAGAGGAAGGUCCCCCACAUUGGAACUGAGACACGGUCCAAACUCCUACGGGAGGCAGCAGUGAGGAAUAUUGGUCAAUGGGCGAGAGCCUGAACCAGCCAAGUAGCGUGCAGGAUGACGGCCCUAUGGGUUGUAAACUGCUUUUAUAAGGGAAUAAAGUGAGCCUCGUGAGGCUUUUUGCAUGUACCUUAUGAAUAAGGACCGGCUAAUUCCGUGCCAGCCGCCGCCGUAA
RNAcentral lists this ribosomal RNA (508 nucleotides) under uncultured bacterium. Its description in RNAcentral is "partial 16S ribosomal RNA". It matches the Rfam family "Bacterial small subunit ribosomal RNA", at positions 28 to 523 of the family's 1533-position model. The record is from RNAcentral.